AGAGUUUGAUCCUGGCUCAGAGCGAACGCUGGCGGCAGGCCUAACACAUGCAAGUCGAACGGACCCUUCGGGGUUAGUGGCGGACGGGUGAGUAACACGUGGGAACGUGCCUUUAGGUUCGGAAUAGCUCCUGGAAACGGGUGGUAAUGCCGAAUGUGCCCUUCGGGGGAAAGAUUUAUCGCCUUUAGAGCGGCCCGCGUCUGAUUAGCUAGUUGGUGAGGUAAUGGCUCACCAAGGCGACGAUCAGUAGCUGGUCUGAGAGGAUGACCAGCCACAUUGGGACUGAGACACGGCCCAAACUCCUACGGGAGGCAGCAGUGGGGAAUCUUGCGCAAUGGGCGAAAGCCUGACGCAGCCAUGCCGCGUGAAUGAUGAAGGUCUUAGGAUUGUAAAAUUCUUUCACCGGGGACGAUAAUGACGGUACCCGGAGAAGAAGCCCCGGCUAACUUCGUGCCAGCAGCCGCGGUAAU
This 470-nucleotide ribosomal RNA is filed under the name uncultured Brevundimonas sp. RNAcentral describes it as "bacterial SSU rRNA". It matches the Rfam family "Bacterial small subunit ribosomal RNA", at positions 8 to 524 of the family's 1533-position model. Lineage: Bacteria; Pseudomonadati; Pseudomonadota; Alphaproteobacteria; Caulobacterales; Caulobacteraceae. The record is from RNAcentral.